GACGAACGCUGGCGGCGUGCUUAACACAUGCAAGUCGAACGGUGAACCUCUUCGGAUGGGAUCAGUGGCGAACGGGUGAGUAACACGUGGGCAACCUGCCCCCGCCCCUGGGAUAACUCCAAGAAAUUGGGGCUAAUACCGGAAGUUCACCGCUUCCCGCAUGGGUGGUGGUGGAAAGGGUUUCCGGUUGGGGAUGGGCCCGCGCCCUAUCAUCUUGUUGGUGGGGUAGUGGCGUACCAAGGCGACGACGGGGAGCGGGCCUGGGAGGGUGACGGGCCCCACUGGAACUGGGGAGCGGCCCGGACUCAACCGGGCGGAAGCGGUGGGGAAUAUUGCGAAUGGGGCGGAGGCCUGCCGCAGCGACGCCGCGUGGGGGAUGACGGCCUUCGGGUUGUAAACCUCUUUCAGCAGGGACGAAGCGCAAGUGCGGUAACCUGCAGAAGAAGCCCCGGCAACCUACGU
This 462-nucleotide ribosomal RNA is filed under the name uncultured bacterium. RNAcentral describes it as "partial 16S ribosomal RNA". It matches the Rfam family "Bacterial small subunit ribosomal RNA", at positions 28 to 506 of the family's 1533-position model. The record is from RNAcentral.